CGGUAGGCCUAACACAUGCAAGUCGAACGGCAGCACAGGAGAGCUUGCUCUCUGGGUGGCGAGUGGCGGACGGGUGAGGAAUACAUCGGAAUCUACCUUUUCGUGGGGGAUAACGUAGGGAAACUUACGCUAAUACCGCAUACGACCUACGGGUGAAAGUGGGGGACCGCAAGGCCUCACGCGAUUAGAUGAGCCGAUGUCCGAUUAGCUAGUUGGCGGGGUAAUGGCCCACCAAGGCGACGAUCGGUAGCUGGUCUGAGAGGAUGAUCAGCCACACUGGAACUGAGACACGGUCCAGACUCCUACGGGAGGCAGCAGUGGGGAAUAUUGGACAAUGGGCGCAAGCCUGAUCCAGCCAUACCGCGUGGGUGAAGAAGGCCUUCGGGUUGUAAAGCCCUUUUGUUGGGAAAGAAAUCCURUCGRUUAAUAACCGGUGGGGAUGACGGUACCCAAAGAAUAAGCACCGGCUAACUUCGUGCCAGCAGCCGCGGUAAUACAGC
RNAcentral lists this ribosomal RNA (500 nucleotides) under uncultured bacterium. Its description in RNAcentral is "bacterial SSU rRNA". It matches the Rfam family "Bacterial small subunit ribosomal RNA", at positions 40 to 529 of the family's 1533-position model. The record is from RNAcentral.